This 492-nucleotide ribosomal RNA is filed under the name uncultured bacterium. Its description in RNAcentral is "partial 16S ribosomal RNA". It matches the Rfam family "Bacterial small subunit ribosomal RNA", at positions 29 to 507 of the family's 1533-position model. The record is from RNAcentral.
AGUGAACGCUGGCGGUAGGCCUAACACAUGCAAGUCGAACGGCAGCACAGUAAGAGCUUGCUCUUACGGGUGGCGAGUGGCGGACGGGUGAGGAAUACAUCGGAAUCUACUUUUUCGUGGGGGAUAACGUAGGGAAACUUACGCUAAUACCGCAUACGACCUACGGGUGAAAGCAGGGGAUCUUCGGACCUUGCGCGAUUGAAUGAGCCGAUGUCGGAUUAGCUAGUUGGCGGGGUAAAGGCCCACCAAGGCGACGAUCCGUAGCUGGUCUGAGAGGAUGAUCAGCCACACUGGAACUGAGACACGGUCCAGACUCCUACGGGAGGCAGCAGUGGGGAAUAUUGGACAAUGGGCGCAAGCCUGAUCCAGCCAUACCGCGUGGGUGAAGAAGGCCUUCGGGUUGUAAAGCCCUUUUGUUGGGAAAGAAAAGCAGCAGGUUAAUACCCCGCUGUUCUGACGGUACCCAAAGAAUAAGCACCGGAUAACUUCGUG